GUCGACUUGGUUUUUGUGAAAAACAUGCACUGUUUCCUGCUAAAUGCCUCAUAUCGAUCUUCUUUGUUCAUACAUCCAACCGACAUAACAUCAAGGUAGGUAUUCUGUCGCAGUUAUCAUAUACCUCGCCAAGCAGACUUUGGAACCAGGUUUGCUGUGCAUUUUCACAAAAAACAUGUCCUCCUUGAUCAGUCAAGCUAUGACAUCAACUUUCUUUAAGCAGUGCUUCAGUCUCU
Molecule: unclassified non-coding RNA, 236 nt
Filed under: Hevea brasiliensis (rubber tree)
Lineage: Eukaryota; Viridiplantae; Streptophyta; Magnoliopsida; Malpighiales; Euphorbiaceae
Source: RNAcentral